Molecule: long non-coding RNA, 1003 nt
Organism: Phyllostomus hastatus (greater spear-nosed bat)
Lineage: Eukaryota; Metazoa; Chordata; Mammalia; Chiroptera; Phyllostomidae
Exons: 2
Source: RefSeq, a predicted model, not a curated record
GCUCUGGGGAGGGGGGUCUCCUGUGUCAUCAGAAACCCCGCUGCUGGGCCAGGAGAGGUCAGCCAGGCUUUCCAUAGCAGGUGCCUUCUUCAGGGACACACAGCCUUGGAAGGUGGCCUUCAUCGUGACCCUGUUGCUGCUGCUCCUUGCGGGGCUCCUGUUCAGUGUGUGGCACUUGCUGUGGCGACGGCGGAAGAGGAUCCGGGCCCGGUGCAGGAAGAAGGAGAGAGCUCAAGCUGAGAAAAAAGCGGCUCUGAGAAAUGGCGGCCCUCUGUGCGAUGCGGCUGCGGGAGAGUCUGGAGAAUGUUACCAACGAGCUGGUGUGGAAGGUGUCUUAGGUCGUGAGGACGCAGAGCCCCGAACUAGAGUCAGCUCUUCCGGCAACGACUGGGACUUAGCAGCAUCCUGGGUGCUGACCUUCCCCAGGUCCCUUCCCGUGGGCGCCUUCACAGGUCCCAGGUGGGACGGAGCCCCUUCCGUGUCCAAGGAGCUUCUUCGGGAAGCUUCCGACGGGGAGGACCAUGCAAGGUGGGGUACCCUCUGCCUGCAUCCCAUGUGCCCUAUAGGCUGCCCCUGAGGGGACUCCGGGCGCCCUGAGCUGCUCAGCAGGGACCCACUGGCUGUGCUCGGUGGGCCCACGAGCCGUGGUCUCCUCCAGAAACACAGGCCAGGAGGGCGGGCUGGACACGUGUGUGACCCCAGCAGCUCCCUCCUUGGUUUCCCAGGCACUGCGAUGUCCCCUGGCUUCCACUUGGGAGCGCCAUAGCUGGGUGACACUUAAGUCAGUCUAUGACAGACAAACCAGUGGUCACUCAGCUGUCACUAGGUUAGCUGGGGCGGACAUGGGGACAGUCACAUGCCAGCUAUGGAGGCCUUUGUACUGUUCUUUAGACACUUUAGCAUAUGUGCUUUUCCAGUUUUAUUUAUGUGUUAAAAUUUCUCUUCCAUAGUGUGUUCACAUGUUUGUAGAAAUUUUUUUACCCAGUAAAAUUUAUAUUCUAAA